This 237-nucleotide ribosomal RNA is filed under the name uncultured Actinomycetales bacterium. Its description in RNAcentral is "partial 16S ribosomal RNA". It matches the Rfam family "Bacterial small subunit ribosomal RNA", at positions 96 to 334 of the family's 1533-position model. The record is from RNAcentral. Lineage: Bacteria; Bacillati; Actinomycetota; Actinomycetes; Actinomycetales.
UGGCGAACGGGUGAGUAACACGUGGGUGAUCUGCCCCUUACUUUGGGAUAAGCCUGGGAAACUGGGUCUAAUACUGGAUAGGACCAUGCUGUAGGUGGUGUGGUGGAAAGAUUAGUUUCGGUAAGGGAUGAGCUCGCGGCCUAUCAGCUUGUUGGUGGGGUAAUGGCCUACCAAGGCGUCGACGGGUAGCCGGCCUGAGAGGGUUGACGGCCACAUUGGGACUGAGAUACGGCCCAG